GUGCUCGCUUCAGCAGCACAUAUACUAAAAUUGGAACGAUACAGAGAAGAUUGGCCCCCGUGGAAGGAUGACACUCAAAUUCACGCGUUAAAACAAAAAAAA
RNAcentral lists this small nuclear RNA (102 nucleotides) under Microtus ochrogaster (prairie vole). The record is from RNAcentral. Lineage: Eukaryota; Metazoa; Chordata; Mammalia; Rodentia; Cricetidae.